RNAcentral lists this ribosomal RNA (774 nucleotides) under uncultured Neocallimastigales. RNAcentral's name for it is "partial large subunit ribosomal RNA". It matches the Rfam family "Eukaryotic large subunit ribosomal RNA", at positions 24 to 645 of the family's 3401-position model. The record is from RNAcentral. Lineage: Eukaryota; Fungi; Neocallimastigomycota; Neocallimastigomycetes; Neocallimastigales.
UAUCUCUGUAGAGUCUGCAUAUCAAUAAGCGGAGGAAAAGAAACUAACUAGGAUUCCCUCAGUAACGGCGAGUGAAGCGGGAAGAGCUCAAAUUUGAAAUCUUCAAGGGUUUACCUUUACGAAUUGUAGUUUAAAGAAGUGUUUCUGUUGAAGUUUCGGUAAAAGUUCUUUGGAAUAGGACAUCAUAGAGGGUGAGAAUCCCGUAUUUGACCGUUAUUUUCAGCUGUGUGAUACACUUUCAAAGAGUCGGAUUGUUUGGGAAUGCAGUCCAAAAUGGGUGGUAAAUUUCAUCUAAAGCUAAAUAUUGGCGAGAGACCGAUAGCGAACAAGUAUCGUGAGGGAAAGAUGAAAAGAACUUUGAAAAGAGAGUUAAACAGUACGUGAAAUUGUCAAAAGGGAAGCGUUUGACACCAGUGUUGUUUUCUCGAAAAUCAAUUAAAAAGUAUGGGAUUUUGUAUUGUUAAGACCUUAUCAGCUUACGGUGCUUUUUUCUUAUUCUUUUUAAUGCACUUUUCGUUUAACAAGUCAACAUCAGUUUCUUUUGUUGUAAAAAGGUCAUUGGAAGGUGGCUUUCUUUUCGGAGAAAGUGUUUAUAGCCUUUGACUCCUGCAAUCGGAGAGACUGAGGUCUGCAGCGUAGAUCCUUCUUGGAUUAGAUUCAUUUGUGCUAAGUUAUAGCUUUUCAUAGACAACUUGUUGACUAUGUUUAGUCUUGUAGCUUACUCGCUUAUGUAAUUUUACCUACGCUUAGGAUGUUGAUCUCUCACAGUCGAGC